This 853-nucleotide long non-coding RNA is filed under the name Brassica napus (rape). Its description in RNAcentral is "long non-coding RNA (BNAP_LNC018074)". Lineage: Eukaryota; Viridiplantae; Streptophyta; Magnoliopsida; Brassicales; Brassicaceae. The record is from RNAcentral.
GAGAGAUCGUGGCUAGUGUGGAUCCAAGGAAUAAAAACAUUGUUAAUGGCGACGAAUCAGCUAAUCCUGUAAUGUAACAGAUGAAUCAGAAACGAAACGUCAUGAAGAAGACCGACAUAGAGACUCCACACGUAUAUUUGAUUUCAAGGAGUUUUCAGAAUGAAAGGACUUAAUCAAACCAAAACAACCGAAUCGUCAAUCUCUCUAAUGGCUGAUUUAGAAGAUUGUGGUGGAACCUUGAACCACGUCUCUAAUGGCGGAUAUGGAUGACUAUGGUGUAACCCUAACUCACGAAACGAUGCCGAUCAUGAACAUUAGUGAUUAACAAAUUGGGCCGGCUUUCUAGAAAGACAAUAUGAGGCACAGACUUAAAAGAGAAAAAGACAAAAAUAGCACUAAAUCGAGUUUUUGUUCCCAAACUAGCAUUCAAGUUCAAAAGUCACAAAAAAAUAUAGCACUUAAUGUUUUAUCAAAAGUCACAAACUUAGGGUUUAGAGUUAAAGGUUGGGGUUUAGGAUUUAGGGUUUAGGGUUUAGGGUUUAGAGUUUAGGGUUUAGGGUUUAAAUUUUAGGGUUUAGGGUUUUGGGUUUAGGGUUUAGAGUUUAGGGUUUAGGGUUUAGGGUUUAGGGUUUAGGGUUUAGAGUUUAGGGUUUAGAGUUGAGAAAUGAGGUUUUGGGGAUUAGAUUUCAAAUUUUGAAAAAUAAAAAAAAUUCAAAUUUUCAAAGGAUAAACGUAGAAAUGUGCUAUUUUGGUCAUUUUAGUUUUUGAGUGCUAUUUUUGUGAUAUAAACUUAGAAAAGUGCUAUUUUGGAGAUUUGCCCAACUUAAAACACCGAAACACAUAAAAAGCGCCG